CUACGGGGGGUAGCAGUCGGGAAUAUUGCGCAAUGGAGGAAACUCUGACGCAGUGACGCCGCGUAUAGGAAGAAGGUUUUCGGAUUGUAAACUAUUGUCGUUAGGGAAGAUAAAAGACAGUACCUAAGGAGGAAGCUCCGGCUAACUACGUGCCAGCAGCCGCGGUAAUACGUAGGGAGCAAGCGUUAUCCGGAUUUAUUGGGUGUAAAGGGUGCGUAGACGGGAAGACAAGUUAGUUGUGAAAUCCCUCGGCUUAACUGAGGAACUGCAACUAAAACUAUUUUUCUUGAGUGUUGGAGAGGAAAGUGGAAUUCCUAGUGUAGCGGUGAAAUGCGUAGAUAUUAGGAGGAACACCGGUGGCGAAGGCGACUUUCUGGACAAUAACUGACGUUGAGGCACGAAAGUGUGGGGAGCAAACAGGAUUAGAUACCCCUGUAGUC
RNAcentral lists this ribosomal RNA (440 nucleotides) under uncultured bacterium. RNAcentral describes it as "partial 16S ribosomal RNA". It matches the Rfam family "Bacterial small subunit ribosomal RNA", at positions 339 to 795 of the family's 1533-position model. The record is from RNAcentral.